Long non-coding RNA from Aedes aegypti (yellow fever mosquito), 1135 nucleotides. RefSeq lists it as uncharacterized. The record is from RefSeq and is a predicted model, not a curated record. The transcript has 2 exons. NCBI's taxonomy places the organism in Eukaryota, Metazoa, Arthropoda, Insecta, Diptera, Culicidae.
AAGAAUACAUAAACUAGAAAACGCAAACAAUCCCUUCCAUUGACGACAAAAGUGAUAAUUUCUUCACAUCAUAUAUAAUCUGCGGACUACAAGAGUGCUCAUCAUUUAGUUUUAAUCCGUUAAUAUUACCAGUCCAAAAUGUUGAAAAUUAUUUGUAUACUUGCGCUAACAAUUUCCAGUGUUAUUAGCAUUCCUGUAGAAACGACUACAGGGUCUAAGGGUUUGGAAAGACCUUCUCCCAUCAACCCGGAUGUAAUAAGUGAGCCAAAACCAAAAGAAGCUUCCACCAGCACUCCUGAUUUAGCUUCAUCUACGCCAGCAAGUCACAUACAAAAAAUUCCAGCUAAAGGAGCUAAGUUAAGUUCUGAAGUGGACCAACAGAAGCAGACUCUCAAAAGAGAUUCAAUCAAAGAAGACCAACUCACAAGAACUACGACGAGCAAAUCUUCAAAAACUGAGAGUCCAUCUACUGCUUCCACACCUGAAUCCCAUAAAUUUUCUGAUGAUACAACGAAGAAAGUGAGGCGUGAAGUCGAAUCUUCUGAAACUUCAACAAACCGCUCAACAACUACUACUCGUGCUCCAAUUCUAAGCAAUGCCGACGAGAAUGAUAACACACCUCCACACUUUAUCCGACCGGUACCAGUCGAUCAGAUCUUGAAGAAUAUUCACGACGCACCAAAGCAUCACGAACCAUCUCAGGUGGUCUCACUACAUGAUCAUGUGACUUCCAUUGCUCCAACUACUAUUGCGCCAACGGACAGUGAGGAUGUGCCCAAGAGCAGUGGCGAUCAUAAGCUCCAUCACGCAUAUAAAAAUAAAAAGAAUGAUGAUCAAUCUUCUGAAGAGGAUUCAACUUCAGGAGAAGAUGAAAAAGAUCAGUAACUUUUGUAUCCCUUAAACAACCAUGUGAAUAUGUGAUAUAUCUUGAAUGAAAAAUUAAAAUAAUGUUCUGUUUUGUACAAAAAAUGUUUAAUUCUCUCAAUUAUAGAACUUUAUUUCAUUAUAAAUAUUUUCACAACGCAAUAAAUCAUCAAAUAUGUUCAAUGCCAAAAGUUCACAUGACAGGUUGUCUACCAGUUCAAAAAUUAAUAAAUAAAAGUCAGGCGUGAAUAGUUAACUAUGUCAAAUCUAA